CAGCCGCCACGGUAAUACGUAGGGUGCAAGCGUUAAUCGGAAUUACUGGGCGUAAAGCGUGCGCAGGCGGUUAUAUAAGUCAGAUGUGAAAUCCCCGGGCUCAACCUGGGAACUGCAUUUGAGACUGUAUGGCUAGAGUGUGUCAGAGGGGGGUAGAAUUCCACGUGUAGCAGUGAAAUGCGUAGAUAUGUGGAGGAAUACCAAUGGCGAAGGCAGCCCCCUGGGAUAACACUGACGCUCAUGCACGAAAGCGUGGGGAGCAAACAGGAUUAGAUACCCGCGUAGUCCCUGUCUCUUAUAC
RNAcentral lists this ribosomal RNA (301 nucleotides) under uncultured bacterium. RNAcentral's name for it is "partial 16S ribosomal RNA". It matches the Rfam family "Bacterial small subunit ribosomal RNA", at positions 509 to 807 of the family's 1533-position model. The record is from RNAcentral.